This 778-nucleotide ribosomal RNA is filed under the name uncultured Neocallimastigales. RNAcentral describes it as "partial large subunit ribosomal RNA". It matches the Rfam family "Eukaryotic large subunit ribosomal RNA", at positions 23 to 633 of the family's 3401-position model. Lineage: Eukaryota; Fungi; Neocallimastigomycota; Neocallimastigomycetes; Neocallimastigales. The record is from RNAcentral.
AGAGAGAGACAUGCGCGCAUAUCAAUAAGCGGAGGAAAAGAAACUAACUAAGGAUUCCCUCAGUAACGGCGAGUGAAGCGGGAAGAGCUCAAAUUCGAAAUCUUCAAGGGUUCUACCUUUACGAAUUGUAGUUUAAAGAAGUGUUUUCUGUUGGAGUUUUGGUAAAAGUUCUUUGGAAUAGGACAUCAUAGAGGGUGAGAAUCCCGUAUUUGACCAGUUACUUUCCAGCUGUGUGAUACACUUUCAAAGAGUCGGAUUGUUUGGGAAUGCAGUCCAAAAUGGGUGGUAAAUUUCAUCUAAAGCUAAAUACUGGCGAGAGACCGAUAGCGAACAAGUACCGUGAGGGAAAGAUGAAAAGAACUUUGAAAAGAGAGUUAAACAGUACGUGAAAUUGUCAAAAGGGAAGCGUUUGACACCAGUGUUGUUUUCUCGAAAAUCAAUUAAAAAUGGUGGGAUUUUGUGUUGUAUUGACUUUAUCAGCUUUCUGCACUUUUUUCCUGUCUUUUUUAAUGCACUUUUCGUUUAACAAGUCAACAUCAAUUUCUUUUGUUGUAAAAGAGUCAUUGGAAGGUGGCUUUCUUUUCGGAGAAAGUGUUUAUAGCCUUUGACUUCUGCAAUCGGAGAGAUUGAGGUCUGCAGCGUAGAUCCUUCGGGGUUAGAUGCAUUUGUGCUAAGCUAUAGCCUUUCAUAGACAACUUGUUGACUAUGAUCAGUCAUGUAGCUUACUCGCUUAUGUCAUUUUACCUACGCUUAGGAUGUUGACAGCAGUAUAGACUGU